Molecule: long non-coding RNA, 564 nt
Organism: Haliotis rubra (blacklip abalone)
Lineage: Eukaryota; Metazoa; Mollusca; Gastropoda; Lepetellida; Haliotidae
Exons: 5
Source: RefSeq, a predicted model, not a curated record
UUCUCUUAACCACGGACCUAACACAUUGCCCACACUACCCUGGGGUCACAGGAGUGUCACAGGGAAGAGUAUAAAUACAAGGAAUAUCCCAUCAUUGUUACUGUGUUGUGAUUUGUCUACUUCUGAGUACAGCCCACAAUGCGUUUGUUCCUUGUCCUCCUGCUUGUGGCCACAGUGAUGGUGUCAGAGUCUGAUGCCUGGAGAUUCAGACGUAUUCGAUGGCGAAGAGUUGGCAGAAUAGCUGGGAAAGUAGCAAUUGGGUUGUUGGGCAAACGUGAUGUGGCAAGCCUUGAUACAAACAUGGAUGGAACAAUUGACCAAUCAGAAGCUGAGACGAUAAUGGACAGACGAUCGGCCACGGAGCUGCUCUCUUUUGCAGAUGAAAAUGGAGACACAAGCGUGAGUUUGGAAGAGUUCGCCAGGAGCAUCGAGAACAUUGAGGAAUGAAUUGAGAUAACCCGAUUGUAGAGAGAGUGGCACUACAACAUUGAAGAUGAUCUCGUAAAUGAUUCUGAAUAAUUUCCUUCCAAGUGUAUGAUUUCAAUAAAUCAUCAUAACCAUCAA